Aricia agestis (brown argus) is the source of this 98-nucleotide long non-coding RNA. RefSeq lists it as uncharacterized. The transcript has 3 exons. The record is from RefSeq and is a predicted model, not a curated record. NCBI's taxonomy places the organism in Eukaryota, Metazoa, Arthropoda, Insecta, Lepidoptera, Lycaenidae.
CACCAGGUAUAAACACCUAUUCUAGUUGACAUACAGAUAGGGGGGCACAGGCAUGGAUUGUUUAGGGCAUCAACUAGCCUUAAUCCGUCACUGGUGAU